CAGGACAUCCAGCUGAAGGAGAUAUGAGGCCCCUAGGACAUCCAGCUGAAGGAGAUAUGAGGCCCCCAGGACAUCCAGCUGAAGGAGAUAUGAGGCCCCCAGGACAUCCAGCUGAAGGAGAUAUGAGGCCCCCAGGACAUCAGGACAUCCAGCUGAAGGAGAUGUGGCCCCCAGGACAUCCAGCUGAAGGAGAUAUGAGGCCCCUAGGACAUCCAGCUGAAGGAGAUAUGAGGCCCCUAGGACAUCCAGCUGAAGGAGAUAUGAGGCCCCCAGGACAUCCAGCUGAAGGAGAUAUGAGGCCCCCAGGACAUCCAGCUGAAGGAGAUAUGAGGCCCCUAGGACAUCCAGUGAUCAACAGUCAUACGUUGAAGGGAACAUUAUAUCACUGUAACCCCUGUAGUAAAACAAAACAGGAGUUUAUGAUCUAUGCAUAGCCACUUUACCCCUACCUACAUGUACAAGUCCAUGCUAGGUAAAGCUCCGCCUUAUCUCAGUUCACUGUUCACGAUGGCAACACCCACCCAUAGCACGCGCUCCAGCAGGUGUAUCUCACUGAUCAUCCCUAAAGCCAACACCUCAUUUGGCCACCUUUCGUUCCAGUUCUCUGCUGCCUGUGACUGGAACGAAUUGCAAAAAUCGCUGAAGUUGGAGACUUUUAUCUCCCUCACCAACUUCAAACAUCUGCUAUCUGAGCAGCUAACCGAUCGCUGCAGCUGUACAUAGUCCAUGGUAAAUAGCCCACCCAAUUCACCUACCUCUUCCCCAUACUGUUUAUAUUUAUUUACUUUUCUGCUCUUUUGCACACCAAUAUCUCUACCUGUACAUGACCAUCUGAUCAUUUAUCACUCCAGUGUUAUUAAUCUGCAAAAUUGUAAUUAUUCGCCUACCUCCUCAUGCCUUUUGCACACAACGUAUAUAGACUCCCUUUUUUUUCUACUGUGUUAUUGACUUGUUAAUUGUUUACUCCAUGUGUAACUCUGUGUUGUCUGUUCAGACUGCUAUGCUUUAUCUUGGCCAGGUCGCAGUUGCAAAUGAGAACUUGUUCUCAACUAGCCUACCUGGUUAAAUAAAGGUGAAAUAAAAUAAAUUUAAAAAACAAAUUAACUCGACUAACCUGUACACCCGCACAUUGACUAUGUACCGGUAACCCCUCAUUACUAACCAGUACCCCUUGUAAAUAGCCUCAUUAUUGUUAUUUUAUUCUGUUACAUUUUUAGUAUUUAAUUUUUUACAACUUUUGUUUAUUUAUUAAAUAUUUUAACUAUAUUUCUUGAACUGCAUUGUUGGUUAAGGGCUUGUAAGUAGCAUUUCAUGGUUAGGUCUGCUACACCAGUUGUAUUCGGCAUUUCCUGGUUAGGUCUGCUACACCAGUUGUAUUCGGCAUUUCAUGGUUAGGUCUGCUACACCAGUUGUAUUCGGCAUUUCCUGGUUAGGUCUGCUACACCAGUUGUAUUCGGCAUUUCAUGGUUAGGUCUGCUACACCGGUUGUAUUGGGCAUUUCAUGGUUAGGUCUACUACACCGGUUGUAUUCGGCUCAUGUGACAUAACAUUUUAUUUGAUUUGUGUUACACACUCAAUGAUA
This is a long non-coding RNA of Oncorhynchus tshawytscha (Chinook salmon), 1582 nucleotides long. NCBI's taxonomy places the organism in Eukaryota, Metazoa, Chordata, Actinopteri, Salmoniformes, Salmonidae. The record is from Ensembl.